UAGUGUCUUAUCCUUCAAUCAAACUCAUUCAUUCGUCCACACUAUGUUUUAAAAUGUGUGACCGACAGAAGUCUUCUUCUGAAAUUCCUAUCGUCGACGAAUUUAUCUAUAUCGCUUUGACGGGGAGAUCUUCCUACUCUACUUUGAUGACAUUGUUUUUAAGUAUAUCUGCUUGCGGACAUUAUUUUGUCUAUUUAAGUAUUAUAUGUUUAGAUUGAAUCUAUAUUUAUAUAUUUAUUUUACACUUUAUAUCAAUUCAUAAAAAUCUGAAUGUUACUAUUUACUUUCUUUGCAAACUGUUCUACAAUGACAAAAAACUAAACCUAAAGGAAUAUUUAUGCUGAUGUCAUGUUUUAAAAUGUGUGUAUUAUUACAGAUCAGUAUGGCAUGUGAAUGUACCCUGUUUGGGAGACAAUUGACAGUUGACUGCUUGAUUGCUCGCAUUAGAUAUGCCACUGAGAAUCAAAUGCCACAAUUAUUAUAGUAAUGAAGAAGAAAAGUGUAGCGAAAACAUAUCCAGAUAAAAUUCCAAUGAAUUCUUGCUGAUUUUUUCUCCAAAGCAAAGAAAACAUGUUUGUUGUUGACUUGCAGCCCAUUGAUUGAUGAUGAUGAUUAUAUGUGCCAUGAUAAGUGCAUCAACAGAUGUCAAUAUAACUUUAUUUAGAAAAAAUUAAAUGAUUCACAACAAUUUCAACGCAGAUGACAUUGUAGUAAUUGAUACCAUCAACUGAUCCAUCAAAAAAAGUAUGCCAUGAACUAUAUUUUACCACAUUAGGAAGUUUAAGUGUAUUCUGCUGAGCUUUCAUGUAAGCUGUGAAAUUCUUUCAUGUUCUUACCUGCUGUUGGGUAGUUGUUUCCAAGUCUUCUUUAUUAAAUCUUUCAAUCCAUUUUCUUCAUUUAUGCUACCAUUAAUUUUUUCCUCCCUCAAUUGAAAGUUACCAAGCAUUUAUGAGCAUAAAUAUGUUUACUGUUUACAUCAUAGGAUACAACAUUAGUUUUUAAGGAACUAACAAUUAAAGUUGUUAUUGUUUUUUAGCUGUUACCAGAAAACACACAGCUAAAGAUCUAAAAUAGAAUUUAUAUAAAGAUAUCUCUGUGUGUCUUUAUGUAUGUGUGUGUGUGAAACAGAGAGGGGGCUGAAUGUGUGAGUGUAUGUUUGAUAUGUGUUCAAAGAUCUGUAUAUAAAAUAUGGUAGUUACUCCCACUUUAUCAUUAGUAAUCAAGGCCUUUCUUAAUUUGACACUAAUUGCCAUUUCUAUACAACAUCCAUGUAUAAAACUUUACCAAACAGACACAUAUCCCAUGAAGUAUUUAUUUCUUACGCUUCUUUUAAGUUGUUUUGAUGACCGAGGUCACUAGUAAGCUCCGCGUCAUCGCUUGCCCUCCUCCAGCUUGAUGACUUUUCGCCAAUGAACGCGAGGACGAAAUUUUUCAUCAGAUAAACUUUUUGCUCUGGGCAAAUAUCCGUUCUUCAUUGCAGCUUGUCAACAUUAUUUUACAUUAUCUUAUAUUACAGGCCGUACUACUCUCUUCCUUCGUCUUGUCUUCCACUCAAACCGUGCAAAGUCGUGUGUUCGCGUGCGUGUGUAAUAGAGGGAGACAACAAGAGAAAAACAAAAUGAAAGAAAAGUUAUUGAAUGUACAUCAAAACAAAGCUUUGUUUUCAGCCUUUUACAAACCUGUACUUAUAAUUUUUGUACCAACAAGUCCACACAUGAAGACUCACCACCAACAUUGCCGUUUACAGCGCUGGAACUAUCAAGGUAACUGUGUGUCCUGAUCCUGGACUUUCUCUUGACAUCAACACUAACAAGUCUAUUAACAAGUCUAUUAACAAGUCUAUUAACAGGAUGUCUUUCCCUUAAAAACGAUAUGAACCUCGAUACUAACCGGUUGCUCAGUGUUUUUUAUUGGCGGCAUCUACAACCACACCAGGUAAAGACACAACUUGGUCGCCAUCCUCCACAUGAUGAGGGUAAGCUUCAUGCUCUCUACUAAAUACAUAAACGCUCUUUAUAAAUACUUAAGUCAAAUCCACCAUGUAUGUGUGAGUUUUUUUCCCAAUUGGAAUCUACUAAUAUUUAACACCCUUCCCCUUUUAAUGGUUUUCGAUAUUAAUGCCCUGGUCAAAUGAAGCUUGGAGAGACUGGUCACGUGGUGAGCAUUGCUUGUAUUGACAUCAAACACACUGUGCUUUAUUUUCCUGAAAAUGUUUCUAAAACCAGUUCAGGAUUCUGUCGACAGUCGACCUUUCUGCUCCACACAAGUGUCCGUUCAGCCAGAUUACAGAGAGCAAACACAUUAUAAACCGGACAAACACACAGUGUCAACUGUAAACAUCUUCCUGGUUUCUUCCACGGAGCAGAGACAACAUACAACAUACUUGAUAUCUACUGCAAGUCUACACAGUCGCCUGUUUAUUUGUAAACAUGAUGAAGAUCUCAGUCUUCUUGCUGCUUGUCUUCACUGAGAUGGUGUUGUGCUAUACAAGAGAAAGCACUUGUGAAAGUUUUCGGUGGCUUGACAGUAAAGGCAAAGGAAGUUGUGAUUUCAAGACAGACUUCUGCGGUUGGACAAACAACUACAAGUGGAGAGUCGGCUGUGCUACAACCAUUACAGAAACUGCUGCUUUGUGGAAAUUAAGAAUAAUGAGAUAGAACAGCAACUGAUGUCACCACAGCUUUGUGGUACUGAGGACGUCCACUACACAAUGAAUCUCAGCUAUGAAAUUCCAAAACCAAACAAGUACACACUGUCUGUGUAUCUGAUGACGGACCGAAAUGGGAAAAUGUUAUGGCAGACUGGUAACAAGCAGGACUUUUUAACUGAAGAGCUUCACUUCACUUUGCCUCAAGUACCGUUCAAGAUCAUGAUUGAAGGCGAACAGAAGGCGAAUAAGUGGAAGCAGGGUCAAAGCAUACUUAUCUUAGACGUUUUGUUUCAUCAAACGAACAUCAGAUCAAACAAACAAACACGCGUUAUCGAAAGAAAGACCUCUCUAUCUCCACCUGUUGUCACCAAGACAAAGAUCAAGGAUAACGGAAAUAAUUAUCGUACAAACGAUCUUUUGAUGACCACGACAACCACAUCAAUGACGAUGGAUUUUACUUCUCUAUCGGCAGGCAUCACACAGGGAUCGUUGACAGACAAUACCGUACCUGCCACGACACUUUCGCAGUCUAUCAGCAGUAAGUACCCUUUAAUAAAGACAUUUUUAUUGAGAUUAAUGUAGAGUUUCUUAUGGUAUGUCUUGGAACUGCUGAAACAGUAUUUACUAAUUACCUUAAGGACCUUUUAGACAAACCAGAAAUUGUUAAAUGUAAGACUACAUUCGAACAACCAUCUACAUUGUUGUCGUGUAGAAAAUAUUUGCUAGAAUAAACAAUGUGUCUGGUUAUAAAUAACCUUUAAAGAACCUUCUCCCCUACCUCCACAAAAAAUACCACAACUGUUAUACUUCGCUUGCGACUCUUGUUUACAAUGAAAUCAUUCUCUAAAAAUAAAUGCAUGCUGCAGACAAAAGUCCUUGUUACUUGAGCAAAAAGGAAAUUUACUUUAAGUGUCGAUGAGAUAUUAGAAUUCCUUGUCAGCUUAGUGCAGCUGCAAACUGAUUAAACAUAGCAACAUGGAACAGAACAGAUCCCUGGGGUUAAAUUAAUGCAGGCUGAUCGUGUAAGAAUUACCCUGUCACCAAACGUUUACAUGUUGUCACAAGAUGUGAUCUUGUUUGGACCUUAGAUACGCUAAUAUAAACAUAUGUCCACUUUACAUUACUAUUUUAUGUUAUAUGUAUCUAGUGCAUAUUGAUAUAGUAUGAUUUUCUUGUAUAAGAAAUAGACAAACUCCCUUUAGGACACUGGCUACAUUAAAAGCAAAUUUUACUUGUGCUACCACUAUCCUUCAGAAAGAAUUGUUACUGUAAUUGUCAUUGUAGUCAGCUGUGACAUGUUAAUAACUACAACAUGCAUCUCACUGCAGGCGUUAAUUCAACGGAUGGUUUUAUGAUUACCAUUGGCCACACAAUAAUGUUGAAAACUUGUUCUUAGUAUUCCUCUUCCUUUUUUCUUUGUUCUCUUACUGUAUCAUCUUCGAGACAAAAGACUAGUAAUUAAACCGUUCAUAUAUACAUAUAGAACAGAGAAGCCGUAAUUUGCUGAAACGAUUUAGUCCAUACACGCGGGGUAGUAGACCUCAGGUAAUUUAAUGCGCCUGAAUGUGCUAAUACAUUCUAAUACACAUACAGGCCAGUGACGAUUGAACACGCGAGCCACUAACACAAUACAAAAAUAAAUGUUUGGUUGUUACUUUUCAUUCAAGUUGUUUUGACGACAGAGGUCAUCAGUAAGCUUCUCGUCAUCGCUUGCCCUCCUCCAGCUUGAUGACUUCCCGGCAAUGAGCGCGAAUGCGAAAUAGUUCAUCAGAAAAAACUUCUGGGCUGGGCACAGUGUGUUGACAAUAUCCGUUCUGUAUUGCAGUUUGUCGACAUUAUCUACUUACAGGCCUACUAGUCGCUUCCUUCGUCUCGUGUAUUACACUAAAACCGUGCAAAGUCGCGUGUUCGCGUGCGUGUGUAUUAGAGGGAGACAACAAGAAAGAAACAAAAUGAAAGAAAGAAAAGCCGUUGAAUAUACAUCAAAAGGAAAGCUUUGUUUUCAGCCUUUUACAAAUAUGUUCUGAUAAGUUUUUGUACCGACAAGUCCGCACAUGAAGACUCACCAGCAACAUCGCCGUUUACAGCGCUGGAAAUGACAUGGUAACUGUGUGUCCUGAUCCUGGACUUUCUCUUGACAUGAACACUAACAAGUCUAUUAUCAAGCUGGCUUUCCCUUAAAACGAUAUGAACCUCGAUAUUAACCUGAUACUCUGUGUUUGUUAUUGGAGGCAUCUACAACCAAAUGAUGGGGGAUAUACUUCUUGUUCGCUACUGGAUACAUAAAUGCUGUUUAUAAAUACUAAAGUCAUAUCCAGCCUGCAUUCUUGUGUUUGUUUUCAAUUAGAAAAUACUAAUAUUUAACACUUUUCCCUUAUCACUGGACUUCUAUAUUUAUACAAUGGUUAAAUGAAGCGUAGAGAGACUGGUCACGAGAUGAUCAUUGCUUACAUUGGCAUCAAACACAUUGUGCUUUAUUUUCUUAUAAACGUUUCUAAAAACAGUUCAGGAUUCUGUCGACAUUUGACCUUGCUGCUCCAGACAAGUCAUCCAAUCAGUAAGAUUACAGAGAGCAAAUUAUAAACCGGACAAACACACACAGAGUCAACUGUAAACAUCUUCCUGGUUUCUUCCACGGAGCAGAGACAACAUACAACACACUGGGCAUCUACUGCAAGUCUACACAGUCGCCUGUUUAUUAGUAAACAUGAUGAAGAUCUCAGUCUUCUUGCUGCUUGUCUUCACUGAGAUAGUGUUGUGCUAUACAAGAGAAAGCACUUGUGAAAGUUUUCGGUGGCUUGACAGUAAAGGCAAAGGAAGCUGUGAUUUCAUGACAAACUUCUGCGGCUGGACAAACAACUACAAGUGGGAGAUAGGCUGGUGUUACAACCAUAACAGAAACUGCUGCUUUGUGGAAAUGAAGAAUAAUGAGAUAGAACAGCAACUGAUGUCACCACAGCUUUGUGGUCGUGAGGACGUCCACUACACAAUGAAUCUCCGCUAUGAAAUUCCAAAACCAAACAAGUACACACUGUCUGUGUAUUGAUGACGGACCGAAAUGGGAAAAUGUUAUGGCAGACUGGUAACAAGGAGGACGUUUUAACUGAAGAGCUUAACUUCACUUUGCCUCAAGUACCGUUCAAGAUCAUGAUUGAAGGCGAACAGAAGGCGAAUAAGUGGAAGCAGGAUCAAAGCAUACUUAUCUUAGACGUUUUGUUUCAUCAAACGAACAUCAGAUCAAACAAACAAACACGCGUUAUCGAAAGAAAGAGCUCUCUAUCUCAACUUGUUGUCACCAAGACAAAGAUCAGUAAUAACGGAAAUAAUUAUCGUACAAACGAUCUUUUCAUGACCACGACAACCACAUCAAUGACGAUGGAUUUUACUUCUCUAUCGACAAGCCUCACACUGGGAUCGUUGACAGACAAAACAAUAUCUACCACGACACUUUCGCAGUCUAUCAGCAGUAAGUACCCUUUAAUAAAGACAUUUUUAUUGAGAUUGAUGUAGAGUUUUUUUUUACUAUGUCGUGGAACUCCUGUAACAAGAUUUAUUCAAUUACCUUAGGGACCUUUUAAACCAACCACAAAUGUUUAAACCUAUGACUAUAUUCAACCAAAAGCUUACAUUGUUGUCAUGAAGAAUAUAUUUACUAGAAUAAAUAAUGUGUCUGGUUAUAAAUAACCUUCAAAGUACAUUACCUUCUCCCCCACCUCCUCAAAAAUACAAAUGAUAUACUUUCCUUGCGACACUUGUUUACAAUGAAAUAAUUCCCCAAAAGUAAAUGCAUGCUGCAGACAAAAGUCCUUGUUACUUGAGCAAAAGGAAAUUUACUUUAAGUGUCGAUGAGAUAUUAGACUUUCUUAUCAGCUUAGUGCAGCUGCAAUCUGCUUAAAGCAUAGCAACAGGGAACAGAACAGAUCCCUGGGGUUAAAUGAUUGCAGGCUUAUCGUGGAAGGAAUUACCCUGUCACCAAAUGUUUACAUGCUGUCACAAGAUGUGAUCAUGUUGGACCUUAGAUACGCUAAUGUAAACAUCUGUCCACUUUACAAUUACUACCUUAUAAGUUAUAUGUAUCUUAAUAGAUAUAGUAUGAUUUACUUGUUAAAGAAAUGGCUUACCGCCCUUUAGGACAAUGGCUACAUUAAAAGCAAAUUUUACUUGUGCUACCACUCUCCUUCAGAAAGAAUUGUUACUGUAAUUGUCGUUGAAGUCAGCUGUGACAUCCUUCUAUCUUUGCAGUGUCAGGUAUGUACAUUCUGAUCACGAUGACACAGUUAAUAACGACAAUAAUUUUACUGUAGUCAUUAAUUCAACUGAUCAUUGUAUGAUUACUCCUGUCCGCUGGAGAAUGUUGCAAGCUUUUUCUUAGUAUUUCUCUACCUUUAUUUUGUUUUCUUACUUUAUGAUCUUUGAAGACAAAAGACUAGUAAUGAAAUCGUUCAUAAACACAUAUACAUAUAUAGAUAUAUAUAUAGAGAGAGAGAGAACAGAGAAGUUGCAAUCUGCUAAAAACGAUUUAGUCUAUCCACGAAAGGUGGUAGACCUAAGGAAAUUUUUUUAUAACCGAUUAUUCCACUCUCUUUAACUGUUUGUAAUUACUUGAAUUAUUUUUGCUGAUCAUGUAGUAGCAGCAGUAUAAUCAAAAAGCCUAAAAGUAUAUUUUUCUGCGUAUAAUACUUCUACAGAGAAUGAAACCCAUGCGAGUGAUGCCACCACCUCUGAUACACAGUCAGCAAACUCCACCAGUGAUCUGACAACAGUAGCAGCAGCAGUGGCAGGGGCUGUUAUCGCUUUUCUUAUUUCCGUUAUCAUUGUCGUCGUACUCAUCAGAAGAAAAACAAAAAACACUCGAAAUUCGCUGCCUACAGUUAACCCUUGUCUCCUUCCUGUCAACACUGCUUGUGGACACCUCAACCCUUCUGUUGCAGCGCGAUCCGACCCAGACAACUAUGAUUGUGUGCAAGAUGCUCCUAGAGGAAAACAACGAGGUGCAGCUGGAGCAACCGGCUCCUCAACGUUGGCUGCUGACGACAUCUACAACCACACACACGACAGUGACAACAAGCAGCUUGGUCGUCAUGGUGAAGGUGGAGGAGGUCUAUACUCCACUUUGGCUACUGAAGACACCUACAGUCAUCUGCAAGGCAAGGAGCACCACAGAUUUGAUCGGCAGGGUGACGGCAAUAAAAACCCACAUUUAGUCACAGCUCCUGAGGACCAUUACAACCAUCUGUAACAUCCUAUCUUCUGGGGCGAAAUUACUGUAAGACAGUCGAUCAUGGGACUGCAUGAGCAUCACUCACACAGGUGUAGUGUCUACCUCCUGACAUGUUUUGCUAACGCCCUCAUGUUUCGUGACAUCCUUCAUUCAAACUCAUUCAUUCGUCCACACUAUGUUUUAGAAUGUGUUACUGACAGAAGUCUUCUUUGAAAUUCCUAUCGUCGACGAAUUUACCUAUAUCGCUUUGACGGGGAGUUCUUCCUCCUUUACUUUGAUGAUAUUGUUUUUAAGUAUAUCUGCUUGUCGACAUUAUUUUGUCUAUUUAAGUAUUCUAUGUUUAGAUUGAAUUUAUAUUUAUAUAUUUGUUUAUUUUACACUUGAUAUCAAUUAUAAAAAUGUUACUAUUUACUUUGUGCAAACUGUUAGACAAUGACAAAAAACUAAACCUAAAGGAAUAUUUAUGCUGACGUCAUGUUUUAAAAUGUGUGUAUUACAGAUCAGUAUGGCAUGUGAACGUACCAUUUCGGGAGACAAUUGACAGUUGACUACUUGAUUGCUCGCCUUAGAUAUGCCACUGAGAAUCAAAUGCUACAAUUAUUAUAGUAAUGAAGAAGAAAGGUGUAGCGAAAGCAUAUCCAGAUAAAGUUCCAAUGAUUUCUUGCUGAGUUUUUCUGCCAAGCAAAGAAAACAUGUUUGUUGUUGACUUGCAGCCCAUUGAUUGAUGAUGAUGCUUAUAUGUGCCAUGAUAAGUGCAUCAACAGAUGUCAAUAUAACUUUGUUUAUAAAAAAUUAAAUGAAUCUAUUCUAUUUUUUCCUCCCUCAAUUGAAAGUUACCAAGCAUUUAUGAGCACAAAUAUGUUUACUGUUUACAUCAUAGGACAAAACAUUAGUUUUUAAGGAACUAACAAAGUUGUUAUUGUUUUUUAGCUGUUACCAGAAAACACACAGAAGCUAAAGAUCUAAAAUACCAUUUAUAUAAAGAUAUCUCUGUGU
Pomacea canaliculata is the source of this 8867-nucleotide RNA transcript. RefSeq lists it as uncharacterized. NCBI's taxonomy places the organism in Eukaryota, Metazoa, Mollusca, Gastropoda, Architaenioglossa, Ampullariidae. The transcript is spliced from 13 exons. The record is from RefSeq and is a predicted model, not a curated record.